Poecilia reticulata (guppy) is the source of this 847-nucleotide long non-coding RNA. RefSeq lists it as uncharacterized. Lineage: Eukaryota; Metazoa; Chordata; Actinopteri; Cyprinodontiformes; Poeciliidae. The record is from RefSeq and is a predicted model, not a curated record.
UAUAGUCCUUAUCAGUGAAAUUGUUGGAAUGUGUAGGAAAAGGACCAUAACAAACACUCCAACCAGCAAGAAAUUUCACAUUUCAUGACUUCGUUUGUUUACGGUUGCCACAGCAACAGACAACAGAUGGUUAGCGGUGGUCAUGGGAGGCUCUCAGGUCGAGUACGUGUUCAUUGAACCACGCCACCGAUUCAUGCGGUCGCCACAUGACGGAACUGCAUGUGUGCUGGUGAAAGCACAUCUGCAUGCGUGAACUCACCCACACGACAAAUAAUAACCUUUAAUUAGCGACAUUUGUAAUGCAUUUGUGAAAAUUAGAUUGACCUGUGGAGCCACGGAGGCCAUGCCGUACAUUCUGUAUGUCUCAGAAAUCAGUCACCUCUUAGAAUAAUGAGUUGCUUAAGUGAAAAGCAGAAGUGGAGCCUCCUGGAUAACCAACAGGAAUGCAGCAAGUGGUUCUGGAUGUUCAACAGUCCUAAGAAAUGCAUGAAGGGGGCGUGUCCAAAGCAGGAGGAGCUUCUUAAAGAGACAGAGGCCAAUUUCAGCUUCAGAGAAGACAGAAAGCUGGCAGAGGCAGUGAAAUACUUUGGGUCAUGUUAUCCUUGGAAACCUUGAGUCCUGACAGUCAUGUGGAUGUUACUUUGAGUCGUUCCAGCUAAAUGGCGUUGCUAACAGAGCGCAGCCCCGUUAUUCCCUGACUGUGGCCUUCUCCAGCAGGAUAAUCAGCCCUGCCACGUCGCUCCAGCAACACAUGGUCAAGGUGUUGACUUGGCCUCCACAUUCUACAUCAACACGCACAACUCAAUGAGUGCUUAAAGUGACGUACAAAUGUAUCAAUCCCACUUCA